Meriones unguiculatus (Mongolian gerbil) is the source of this 937-nucleotide long non-coding RNA. RefSeq lists it as uncharacterized. The record is from RefSeq and is a predicted model, not a curated record. Lineage: Eukaryota; Metazoa; Chordata; Mammalia; Rodentia; Muridae. The transcript is spliced from 3 exons.
GCUGGCGGGCUCUAAGGACCAUCAGCACUAGUUGCACUUUUAUCCAAUGCUCACCAGCCCACAGAAGUCCAGACUACUGUGGACCCAGCUUUUUGUCACCUCCCCUCCUCAGAAGCACAGGCCUGUAUGCCUCACCUCUUACUAGACACUGGAGGAACAGAAGCAGAAAUAAAACUGUUUCCAGACCCUCCUACCAAAAGCUGGCGCCACGGUUCGGGGUACCCAGAGCACGGGAGGCUGAGGCUGAAGGAGUGAGGGGAUGGGGGCGUGCUGCGACUAAAUUUGCUCAUCCAGCCUGUCAGUCCCUUAAUCUGGUCCCAGGGGAACAAGCACAGAGGCUUCACUCUGGAUGACAAACGAGGAGGGGAGAGGCCUGCCCUGCCUGGACACUGGGUCCCACCAUGUCUGUGUAACCAACGUGAACCCCAGCAAUCACCAUGUUUUCCCCUCAGAAGUGUCUUCCAGUUGGUUCAUGAUCAGACCUGGGAAAGCAUCCAUCUCUCCGCGCCUCAGUAUACUGAUCUGUAAAAUGGGCCUCCUAUGAAGCUCAGUGGAGCUCCCACCGCCGAGCGAGCUACAGUGAGACGAAGGUCCCACCAGUGAGCUUGUCGCCAGCGCUUCUCCGGCUCCCACCAAGGCCACUCUUUGCCUGCUGAGUUCUCAAGUCUCAGCGCGAACACAGUGACCAUCGCCGGCCAGGGUCCCGUUUGCUGUGGUCGUAGCCACAGCUGCUGAGCCUCAGCCCAUCCCAGGCUUCCAUGGAGCAACGGUUCCCACGCCUGCUUUGUUCAGACUCAUCCGGCGCAUUAACGCUUAGGCCUGGGCCACCCGGGCUGGAGGUCAGAGCCUGCAAAGAGGACAGUCGCAGCGUACCAGGGCUUCUCCAGUCUGCCUCAGCCUUGGGUGGAGAUUCCACUUGGAAAACACCAGGGGGAAA